UUUUGAAAUCCAAGAUGGCGGACAUUAAUUUUUCUUAAAAAUCGAUAUGGGUGUCAUCUCCGAGGUUCCUCGGGGUUCCAAUUACAAAAAUGACGUCAAUUUUGGCGGUUCUUGUUGGUGCAGAUUUCAAAAAUAGAGACCAUUUUAGAAUUAAAGGUGGUUGAUAUCACGGCUACACACAUCGACACCCAUUUCAAAAUGUAGCGUCCGCCAUAUUUAUUUUCAAAAUAGAUGCCAUUUUUGAAAUCCACACCCCUAAAAACCCAGAAAACAACACCCAUGACGACUUUUUCAAAAAAGUGACGUCCGCCAUCUUUAUUUCCAAAAUGGACGUCAUUUGUAAAAUUAGUACACAUACAUCAUACAACAUGAAAACUAAAAACAUUUCCAUCCUCUUUUGGGCAGUUGUGUAAGUCUGUGAUAACCCUAGGUAGGUACGGAGACCUUGAGCGGUGUCGGCAUUUACGCAAACAUCAAAG
This is a long non-coding RNA of Cydia pomonella (codling moth), 479 nucleotides long. RefSeq lists it as uncharacterized. The record is from RefSeq and is a predicted model, not a curated record. The transcript is spliced from 3 exons. NCBI's taxonomy places the organism in Eukaryota, Metazoa, Arthropoda, Insecta, Lepidoptera, Tortricidae.